This 255-nucleotide ribosomal RNA is filed under the name uncultured bacterium. RNAcentral describes it as "partial 16S ribosomal RNA". It matches the Rfam family "Bacterial small subunit ribosomal RNA", at positions 79 to 334 of the family's 1533-position model. The record is from RNAcentral.
UCUUCCUUUGCUGGCGACCGGCGCACGGGUGAGUAACACGUAUCCAACCUGCCCUUUACUCGGGGAUAGCCUUUCGAAAGAAAGAUUAAUACCCGAUAGUAUAAUGAUUCCGCAUGGUUUCAUUAUUAAAGGAUUCCGGUAAAGGAUGGGGAUGCGUUCCAUUAGGUUGUUGGUGAGGUAACGGCUCACCAAGCCUUCGAUGGAUAGGGGUUCUGAGAGGAAGGUCCCCCACAUUGGAACUGAGACACGGUCCAA